AACCAUUAAAUCACAUUCCUUAGGAUUAGCUUGAAACCUUGCACACAUGCACACACUAAGCAUAAUAUCGGGUCUAGAUACACAAAGAUAAAGCAAGGAGCCAAUCAUAGACUGAUAUACCUUUUGGUCCACACUCUUACCAUCCUCAUUUAGAUCAAGAUGUCCAUUUGAUGGCAUUUGAGUCUUGAUGGGCUUGGCAUUCUGUGACGACCGACCCGAAAUCUCUCGAGUUAAUCUUAAUCCGAGCCCCUGAUCACCCGUCUUAGUUUUCCAAGCCUAAGUGUUCAACCUCCCGACCGGUCCCGACCCCUGAGACCCGACCCCUCUCCGCUGGCAUCCAGUUCCGACCCCGCCGACCCCAACUCACCCGCCGGAUCUUCUGAGUCAUCCCCAACACCUCCCUUCAGUCUGACCGGUGGACCCACGAGAUCUUUUCCCCCAGAUCUUCCGCGACAGGCGCACUCGAGUUGCAUGUCCGCUUCAGAGUUCCCCCGCCGCGUGGCUCAACUCCUCCGACGCCUGCCGCUCCGCCUCGUUCCUGGCCCACGACCAAAUGGAUUCUCGCGCCCUCCUCC
RNAcentral lists this long non-coding RNA (575 nucleotides) under Setaria viridis. RNAcentral's name for it is "long non-coding RNA (SVIR_LNC009441)". Lineage: Eukaryota; Viridiplantae; Streptophyta; Magnoliopsida; Poales; Poaceae. The record is from RNAcentral.